UCACCAAGAAUUCGGUUACUC
Molecule: non-coding RNA, 21 nt
Organism: Caenorhabditis elegans
Lineage: Eukaryota; Metazoa; Nematoda; Chromadorea; Rhabditida; Rhabditidae
Source: Ensembl